UCCAAGUAGGAAGGAACAUUUGAAAUGAGCUUUGAAGAAGAGGAGGACUAACAGAUGGGAAAAUUAUAAUAUUUCUCAGCUAGCAGAGAUUUAAUUUUCAUAAAUUAGAAUCAUGAACUCAGAGCCUAAUUAAGCAUCCUAAUAAAAUCGUGCUACAUACCUCCAAUCCACAUCUAAGUCUUCACUCACACUGGAGUCAUCCUCCAGGUUAUUGUUACCAUCCAACAUGAAAGCUGGCUGUGCAAAUUCAUUGGCAGGUUCAUUUCCCUCAUCACUGCUGCUUUCAUUGACUUCAUUGUACUGUAACCAAGGAAUUUCUCCCUCUUCCAAGGAUGUCUGUUCCCUAGUACAAACAUUUUAAAGGAAGAAAAAAAUAUUAUUUUAAAACAUAC
RNAcentral lists this long non-coding RNA (392 nucleotides) under Homo sapiens (human). RNAcentral's name for it is "HSALNT0092677". The record is from RNAcentral. Lineage: Eukaryota; Metazoa; Chordata; Mammalia; Primates; Hominidae.